RNAcentral lists this unclassified non-coding RNA (79 nucleotides) under Kriegella aquimaris. Its description in RNAcentral is "Flavo-1 RNA". The record is from RNAcentral. Lineage: Bacteria; Pseudomonadati; Bacteroidota; Flavobacteriia; Flavobacteriales; Flavobacteriaceae.
GAUUUGCGUUAGGGAUAGCAGUGAAAAGCCCGCAAUGGCUUUUUAGCCUGAGGACUUCUAACGGAUAGCCCGACCUGAC